ACGCUCGACACCUACGAGAGGCAGCAGUGGGGAAUAUUGCACAAUGGGGGAAACCCUGAUGCAGCAACGCCGCGUGAAGGAAGACGGUUUUCGGAUUGUAAACUUCUGUUCUUAGUGAAGAUAGUGACGGUAGCUAAGGAGCAAGCCACGGCUAACUACGCGCCAGCAGCCGCGGUAAUCUGAGCGGGCUGGCAAGGC
RNAcentral lists this ribosomal RNA (198 nucleotides) under uncultured bacterium. Its description in RNAcentral is "partial 16S ribosomal RNA". It matches the Rfam family "Bacterial small subunit ribosomal RNA", at positions 328 to 539 of the family's 1533-position model. The record is from RNAcentral.